Molecule: ribosomal RNA, 505 nt
Filed under: uncultured Glomus
Lineage: Eukaryota; Fungi; Glomeromycota; Glomeromycetes; Glomerales; Glomeraceae
Description: SSU rRNA
Rfam family: Eukaryotic small subunit ribosomal RNA
Source: RNAcentral
AGCAGCCGCGGUAAUUCCAGCUCCAAUAGCGUAUAUUAAAGUUGUUGCAGUUAAAAAGCUCGUAGUUGAAUUUCGGGAUCAAUGCGUCGGUCGUGCCUUCGGUACGUACUAGCGUCAUUGAUUCCUCCCUUCUGAAGAACCGUGAUGUCAUUAAUUUGGUGUUACGGGGAAUCAGGACUGUUACCUUGAAAAAAUUAGAGUGUUUAAAGCAGGCUAACGCUUGAAUACAUUAGCAUGGAAUAAUGAAAUAGGACGUUCGAACCUAUUUUGUUGGUUUCUAGGAUCGACGUAAUGAUUAAUAGGGAUAGUUGGGGGCAUUAGUAUUCAAUUGUCAGAGGUGAAAUUCUUGGAUUUAUUGAAGACUGACUACUGCGAAAGCAUUUGCCAAGGAUGUUUUCAUUAAUCAAGAACGAAAGCUAGGGGAUCGAAGACGAUCAGAUACCGUCGUAGUCUUAACCAUAAACUAUGCCGACUAGGGAUCGGAUGAUGUUUAAUUUUAUAAUGA